AGUUAAAAGAGGACGCAAAAACUUGUCCUACCCAUUCCCUCUUCAAUUUCUUGUGUUCGCUGGCUGUAAGAUGUGUUUCUUGUAGAAACACAAUAUCGGCCUUUAAUUUCUUAAGCUCCGCGGCAUCACGUGUCUCCCCCAAUUGAGAUGGUUUGGAUGAGUUGGACCGCAGAGUGAAGGAAAAGCAGCUAACAAGUUCUCAGCCUAUGUGGGAACUCCUUCAAGACUGUUGGAAAAGCAUUCUAGGUGAAGUUGGUUGAGAGAAAGCCAAGCGUGUGCAAAGCUGUCAUCAAGGCAAAGGGUGGGUACUUUGAGGAAUCUAAAAUCUAAAAUAUAUUUUGAUUUGAUUAACACUUUUUUGUUACUACAUGAUUGGUUACUACAUGAUUCCAUAUGUGUUAUUUCAUUGUUUUGAUGUCUUCACUAUUAUUCUACAAUGUAUAAAAUAGUACAAAUUUAGAAAAACCCUUGAAUGAGUAGGUGUUCUAAAACUUUUGACUGGUACUGUAUAUUCUAAUUUUGUAUUUUUUUUUUGCUAAACAGGUGGGGCUCAAAACAGAUGGGCCUCUGCCCCUCCUUCCCUGAAUGAUGCAUCGCCACUGCAUAUUCUUGACCUUCAACAGAUGCACAGCCUUUGGCAGGGGAAAAAAUGCUCUGCUGUGAGAGUAAAAGUCUCCCACUCAAUGGUGUUCUGUUUCAAAGAUGUAUGAACGCCACCACUGGGAAGACGGACAAACAAACUAAAGCCAAAGACAAAUAUGCUGUUAAAAUUAACAAGAAUGCAGUAAGUUCAAAGACAGAUCACUGUAAUUUAUACCAUACACGUGUACAACAAUUUAAUUUUAAUAAUAUUGAAGAACUAACUAACAAUGGAAUGUUCCUCAAUAAAUUGGAAGAUUACGGGACUUUAAACAGGUGUCCCAACUCUGUGGCCACAAAGGAUCCCAUGGGGUGGUGCUUAUAUUUGUCCUGUUUUCAACUGCAUGUGUAUAUCAUCAAACUAUUCCUAUCAUGUAAUACUGUGUAUAAAAGUACCAUUGUAUGUAAAGUGUAUGAAUAAUGCAUAUGUAACAAAAUAUAUGUAAAAAAAAUAAUUGUAAGUUACUUUUGUCCUCUGAAGAGGGGGGUGGAUGGGCC
This 1137-nucleotide long non-coding RNA is filed under the name Salmo salar (Atlantic salmon). RNAcentral describes it as "lncRNA (ENSSSAG00000082702.1)". The record is from RNAcentral. Lineage: Eukaryota; Metazoa; Chordata; Actinopteri; Salmoniformes; Salmonidae.